RNAcentral lists this ribosomal RNA (433 nucleotides) under uncultured bacterium. RNAcentral's name for it is "partial 16S ribosomal RNA". It matches the Rfam family "Bacterial small subunit ribosomal RNA", at positions 29 to 507 of the family's 1533-position model. The record is from RNAcentral.
AACGAACGCUGGCGGCAUGCCUAACACAUGCAAGUCGAACGAGACCUUCGGGUCUAGUGGCGCACGGGUGCGUAACGCGUGGGAACCUGCCCUUAGGUUCGGAAUAACUCCCCGAAAGGGGUGCUAAUACCGGCUAAUGUCUUCGGACCAAAGAUUUAUCGCCUUUGGAUGGGCCCGCGUUGGAUUGGCUUGUUGGUAGGGUAAAAGCCUACCAAGGCGACGAUCCAUAGCUGGUCUGAGAGGAUGAUCAGCCACACUGGGACUGAGACACGGCCCAGACUCCUACGGGAAGCAGCAGUGGGGAAUAUUGGACAAUGGGCGAAAGCCUGAUCCAGCAAUGCCGCGUGAGUGAUGAAGGCCUUAGGGUUGUAAAGCUCUUUUACCCGGGAUGAUAAUGACAGUACCGGGAGAAUAAGCUCCGGCUAACUCCGUG